This 219-nucleotide unclassified non-coding RNA is filed under the name plant metagenome. RNAcentral describes it as "partial contains small subunit ribosomal RNA and internal transcribed spacer 1". The record is from RNAcentral.
AAUGUCGUAACAAGGUUUCCGUAGGUGAAUCCUGCGGAAUGGAUCAUUACUGGCGCGAACGCCAACGCAGGACCUUGUCCCUGCGCGGCUGACCCUCCACCCGUGUGAACUGAAUUUGUUACUUGGCGGGCCGGGCUCGACCUACCGGCUCCGGUGGGGAAGUGCCCGCCAGAGCCCAUCGUGCAGUUAGUGCAGUCAGAAUAACUUAAUAAGUAAAAC